Anas platyrhynchos (mallard) is the source of this 2833-nucleotide long non-coding RNA. RefSeq lists it as uncharacterized. The record is from RefSeq and is a predicted model, not a curated record. Lineage: Eukaryota; Metazoa; Chordata; Aves; Anseriformes; Anatidae.
CAGAAAUUGCUGCCCCACCAACAGCCCAUCUUCCACCCUAUAGGACAGGAAUUUCUCUCUGCUGCCCGUCCACCUUAUUCGGCCCCUGAAGAACAACCCAUCUGUAGCUCACUCUCUGUUGCCAGGAGGACUGUUGAAUUUUACCUAGCCAUCAAACUGCUGGCAGUUUUGCCUCCUUUCCUCCACCCUAUUCAGUAAUCAAUUACAGUGAUGAGGCAAAACUGACAACCCCAGUUACAAUGCUGCUUCCAAUUUGCGUCGCUUAUCCCCAAUUAAGUCAGGCAGGGAGACAUUGCCUGCACCAUAACUCGGUUGUUGUUCCUCAGCAGGAGGUGAUGGAAGUCCCUUACACCUUGUUUUUAUGCUGAGAACCUUUCAGAUUGCAUUUAGACUAUGUAUUUACCAGUUUGCUUGUCAAGGCUUUGAAGCAGGGACAGUCUACUUUGAAGCAGUAUGACAAACUAGCACGACCGACCUCUGUUCUGGAUUAGUCCAAGGAGCAACCUCUGUCACUGGGAUGCAAACAGUAGCACAGCAGUCUCCUUCCAGCGUCUACAAUGCCACAGGCACAAGAUAUUGGCACAAGUAAUUUUUACCAGUGGAAUACCAGGGUAGAGAAAGACUGUCCUGAUCCCCCAACCAUGUACACAGUUCAGCCUCACUAUCUGCAUGCUGCAAGACCACAGGCAGGAAGGGAAGAAGGAACUCAAAUCCUUGCAACCGCAGGUAUGGUAAGACCACACAUCACUUGUAGGUGAUCCACAUACCUUCCUGGAGAGGAAAUCAGAAUGCUUCCCAGGACUCAGCUGUGGCCUGUCUACAAGGAGCCAAAGGAAGGUGAAAAACACCCCCAGAACUCAUCUUGCUAACUGUGCAUCAGAGGGAAAUAUCCUGCCUAACCCCUGUGGGCAGCCAGCUGAAGCCAUGGAGCAUGAGACUUUAUUUUAACACCAGGAUGUCUUCCAGAAAGGAAAUGGGGGAGGACAACAGGAUGGAGAGAUGAAGUAUGAAAACACAGCACUGUCUCAAUUCCAAGUAAAUCUGCCACCUUCCGACUCCUGCAUGCUACGCGGGAGAUUUACAGGAUAGAUAUUUUCAAAUAUCACACUCAGAGGUAAAAUCAUGUUAUAAACUCCCUGCCUCUUUUUCCAUCCCUAUCCAACAUUUCCUAUCCAGAAACGGCAGAAGGAACUUCUAACAAAGAACUUAAAACAAGGUAGAUUAAGCCCACUGAGAUUAUGGUAGCAUGAGAAAUAAACAUAGCAGAAAACUGGAAAAUAAGAGAGCAAACUAGGCUCAUCAAGAGACAACAAAGCAAGCAUUAAUUUGAAAGUGAGGAAGAAUAUGCCAGCUUAUUCCAUAUGUGACGGAAUAAAUAUUAACAAUGCUGACAACAUUUUUAGGUGGACUAACGAGGGCAAAGGAGCAGAAAACUAGUAGUGAACGAGGGGUAAGUAAGCAUAUUUUAUGGAUAGAGGGAGAUGAAGUAUUGUGUCAGCAUGAGUUACCUAGAGAUGAAAGAUGAAAAACAUGACUCAUUCACUAUUUGUAGAAGUAUUUUCCAAGUAUUUGGAAACAGACACCAUAGUUCCAGCAUUUAGCAAAUAAAGAUUCUAGAAGAUAGGUUGACAUUAUCUUCCUAAAAGACUAACACCUACAUUUUUUAAAGCCCUUUGAGAUAUUUAUGAGUAGCCAGGGGGUGCACUUGGAAAUGUGAAAUUUAAUUAGUGAGUCACUACAGAAUUAUGAGGCGUAAAUCAGGUCAGAUUCAUUUUUAUGCAGUAGCUGUUGGUCUUGAUUCAGGUGAGGAACCAAGAGAUCCAACCUAGCAAAUAUUCAGGGAUAUUUGUCUUUUAAUCAGGUUCCAUGUGGACUGGACUGCUGAAUAAUCCACUUCAUUCAUUAACAGUAAUUUUAAGAAAUGAGCCUGAUUCUGUUGUCGGCAUGCUAGAAAGCCCAUAGAUUAUCACCACCGGGAAAGUUUUCUAUUUUAAGAAUGGGAGCAAGGAGGUGGAAACCUAGAUGUGGAGGGUUUAUAUCCUGCUCUGGAUCUGGAGAGCAGAAGGGCACUAAGAGGGCUCUACCCUCAUUCAUCACUGAGCACCUGCAUCAGCUAGAAUUUCACCAUCCCUUGUGCUGCACUCUGCAGGCAAGGCUCUACCAGCUCUUUUCCAAAGGUGGAUGCACACACAGACAAGAGAAGCUGGGAAAGGCUUAUCUCAAGUUACACAGCAAGUGUUUGGAUUUGUGCUGGGGCAGUAGUCAUGGUUUGGCCAAUGGAAAUGAUGUGUACAAGCCAUCAGCAGAUUUCAAAGAGGUGGUCAUGACUAUAAAGGUCAUGCUCAGUGCUGUUGCUAGCAUCAUUCCUACUCUGCAGCAGCAGAAUUUCUACCCCAAAUCCCUCCUGUGCUUCUAACUCCUUUUAAUGUGAAAAAUCAUGUGAUUUUAUUCUUAUCUUCAGAAAUACUCAUCUCUGCUCCUGUAUUCCCUGUGCUCACUCAUCUUUUCAUCUCCUUCCAUCAGUCAGUCCCUGAUCAUCCUUGCAGGUGCUGCCUCCUGUUCUCUGUUCAGAGCAGAACAACAUUAAAGACGGCUAGCAGGUACUUGUUUGCAACACGGAGAGCAUGCUUUAUAAAUCCAAGCCCUUGAAAAAGUGAAAUGGAAGUAGCAUCCAAUCACAUUGUGCUGUGGCUGCCUGCUAUCAAAAAUGUAGGUAUAUAAAAUAUCUAAACAAGGCAAGGGCUAUUUCAGCUCUUUAUAUGUUUCCAUUCAAAACUUUUGUAGUGAGUACAGCAACUUACAAUUAAACAACUGCUCAAAAAAUUCAGCUAUU